Long non-coding RNA from Helicoverpa armigera (cotton bollworm), 1129 nucleotides. RefSeq lists it as uncharacterized. NCBI's taxonomy places the organism in Eukaryota, Metazoa, Arthropoda, Insecta, Lepidoptera, Noctuidae. The record is from RefSeq and is a predicted model, not a curated record. The transcript has 3 exons.
GACAGUUGUGCUUUCGAGCAGCGAAAUUUAUUUUGUCUCAUUAUCAUAAAAAAGGACUCAAAAUAUACCAAAUGAUUCGUGUUAAAAGUUGGGAUAUAAUAAAGGCUUACAGCCUGAGACAGUGCUGUGCCUGUCUCAUAGUCUCCGGGAUGCAUUCCCGGCAUUUCUUAUCUUGCCCGAGAAAUGACCCCGCGAAUAAGAAAUAGUGGAUCCCAGAUUCGACUCCUACUACAGUUAAAAAAUAACGGUUUCGCAAAAUUUGUGAGAAAAAUGUAGAAACCUGAAAGUAGUGAAACAAAAACAAGGCUUUCCUUUUGUAAAUUAUUAGGAAUGUUUCAUGGAUUUCGAAUUAAUUAAGGUGUCGUUACGAUGAUUCUGUAACGACCGUGUCCUGUCUUUUAUUCAAAAUUAUGGGAAUGGAGUUAAUCAGUACGAUGAUUGAAAACAAAGAGGAUGGCCGGAUGGCUGACAAACAUUAGUACAGCAUUAUAGAAAGUUGUAACCGACAUUUUAGUCGCUCAGCUUCCAAAUUAAUCGCACUCGGAGGAACAGUGCGUGUGUUGAAAAAUCGUAUGUUUCAAUGUUAUUACGAAGUGGUUGAAAUGAUAAAAUACUGCCGAGUGGUAGCUGGGAACUAGAAUAUAUCCGACACGAGCACUUGGACCGAAGUGUCUCGACGAGCUGAUGGGUUAUACUUAUUUAUGAGAAAAGUUGAAAAUGUAUGAUGUUUAAAUGCGAAAUUCUUCUUGGCUACUGAGUUAAUAUUAUUAAGCAAGUCAAAGAGGAUACAGCAUGUAUUAUAUUGGACCUCAUUUUAAGACAACAUGGGAUUUUCUUAAAUCCAAAAAGUAUCAUAAGGAAACUUACAUAGAUUCUAGUUUAAUUUGGUAUUUCUUUGAAACCGUCAUGAUAAGUCAAGAAAUUAACGAAAAUGAUUUUUCCUAACUUUUUUUAUCCUGUUGUUUAGAUAGGUUUAGGUUUAACUUGAAAAUUAAAAAUCUAUCCAAGUUUGGAUUAAGGAUGUAGAUAUAUAUUUUUGUUAUAUUUUUACGAUUUUAGUUUUGUAUUAGUUUAUUGUUUAUGUAUUUUUAGAAUAUUUGUUAAUUUAUGAUUUAAUAAAUAAAUAACA